RNAcentral lists this small RNA (286 nucleotides) under Blochmannia endosymbiont of Camponotus (Colobopsis) obliquus. Its description in RNAcentral is "5' ureB small RNA". It matches the Rfam family "5' ureB small RNA". The record is from Rfam by way of RNAcentral. Lineage: Bacteria; Pseudomonadati; Pseudomonadota; Gammaproteobacteria; Enterobacterales; Enterobacteriaceae.
CUUCAUUGACUUGCUGAGGACAAAUAAAAUGCACAUGAGAAUCUACAGCACCGGCGGUAACAAUUUUACCUUCAGCAGCUAUAACUUCAGUAUUAGGUCCAAUGGGAAUAGUUAUUUCCGCUUGUACAUCUGGAUUACCAGCUUUACCAAUAAAAAAAAUUCGAGCAUCCUUGAUACCUAUAUCAGCCUUAACUAUACCCCAAUGAUCAAUAAUCAGCGCAUUAGUUAAUACUAAAUCAACACAAUCCUUUGAUGUCAUCUGCCCUUGUCCCAUACCAUCACGAAU